Molecule: transfer RNA, 74 nt
Filed under: Promethearchaeota archaeon
Lineage: Archaea; Promethearchaeati; Promethearchaeota
Also listed under: 1 other name
Description: Candidatus Lokiarchaeota archaeon (marine sediment metagenome) tRNA-Phe
Rfam family: tRNA
About the family: Transfer RNA (tRNA) molecules are approximately 80 nucleotides in length. Their secondary structure includes four short double-helical elements and three loops (D, anti-codon, and T loops). Further hydrogen bonds mediate the characteristic L-shaped molecular structure. tRNAs have two regions of fundamental functional importance: the anti-codon, which is responsible for specific mRNA codon recognition, and the 3' end, to which the tRNAs corresponding amino acid is attached (by aminoacyl-tRNA synthetases). tRNAs cope with the degeneracy of the genetic code in two manners: having more than one tRNA (with a specific anti-codon) for a particular amino acid; and 'wobble' base-pairing, i.e. permitting non-standard base-pairing at the 3rd anti-codon position.
Source: RNAcentral
GCCAAGGUGGCGUAGCCCGGGAACGCACCAGACUGAAGAUCUGGGUAUCGGGAGUUCAAAUCUCCCCCUUGGCA